RNAcentral lists this ribosomal RNA (1413 nucleotides) under metagenome. Its description in RNAcentral is "SSU rRNA". It matches the Rfam family "Eukaryotic small subunit ribosomal RNA", at positions 528 to 1790 of the family's 1831-position model. The record is from RNAcentral.
AAUCCUUUAACAAGGACCUAUUGGAGGGCAAGUCUGGUGCCAGCAGCCGCGGUAACUCCAGCUCCGAUAGCGUAUAUUAAAGUUGUUGCGGUUAAAACGUUCGUAGUUGAACUUGUGCUUCAUACGGGUAGUAUAACUAUAAUUGUAGUCUGUACUAUACCUUAUGUAUGUAAGCGUAUUACCGGUGGAGUUCUUAUAUAUAUUAAAUACUUGUAUUUAUAUGUAUUCCUCCUAUUUAAACCUGCUUCAGUGCUCUUCAUUGCGUGCUGUUGUAGGCCGGUACAAUUACUUUGAACAAAUUAGAGUGCUUAAAGCAGGCUCCAAAUGCCUGAAUAUUUUGUGCAUGGAAUAAUGAAAUAAGACCUCUGUUCUACUUUCAUUGGUUUUUAGAUCAAGAGGUAAUGAUUAAUAGAAGCAGUUUGGGGGCAUUAGUAUUACGACGCGAGAGGUGAAAUUCUUGGACCGUCGUAAGACUAACUUAAGCGAAAGCAUUUGCCAAAGAUGUUUUCAUUAAUCAAGAACGAAAGUUAGAGGUUCGAAGGCGAUCAGAUACCGCCCUAGUUCUAACCAUAAACGAUGCCAGCUAGCAAUUGGGUGUAGCUACUAUUAUGGCUCUCUCAGUCGCUUCCCGGGAAACCAAAGCUUUUGGGCUCCGGGGGAAGUACGGUUGCAAAGCUGAAACUUAAAGGAAUUGACGGAAGGGCACCACCAGGAGUGGAGCCUGCGGCUUAAUUUGACCCAACACGGGAAAACUUACCAGGUCCGAACAUAAGCGUGUAAGACAGAUUGAUAGCUCUUUCUCGAAUCUAUGGGUGGUGGUGCAUGGCCGUUCUUAGUUCGUGGAGUGAUUUGUCUGGUUAAUUCCGAUAACGAACGAGACUCAAAUAUAUUAAAUAGAUGCUUUCAGGAUUAUGGUGUUUGAAGCUUUUAUAGCCUUCAUUCAUGAAUGCAGUAACAUGUGUGAGUGUUUGAAUGUGUUUAUAAAGGUGGAGCCGUACCUGUUGGUUUGUCCCAUUAUAAGGACACUAGCUUCUUAAAUGGACAAAUUGCGUCUAGCAAUAAUGAGAUUGAGCAAUAACAGGUCUGUGAUGCCCUUAGAUGUCCUGGGCUGCACGCGCGCUACAAUGAAAGUAUCAACGUGUAUUUCCUAGACCGAGAGGUCCGGGUAAACCGCUGUACCACUUUCAUGCUUGGGAUUGUGAACUGAAACUGUUCACAUGAACUUGGAAUUCCCAGUAAGUGUAGUCAUUAACUCGCAUUGAUUACGUCCCUGCCCUUUGUACACACCGCCCGUCGCUACUACCGAUUGAAUUAUUUAGUGAGGUCUCCGGACGUGAUCACUGUAACGCCUUGCGUGUUACGGAUGUUUCGCAAAAGUUGACCGAACUUGAUUAUUUAGAGGAAGUAAAAGUC